UUCAAGGCUGUGGUGUGGGCGGGAGUCAAGGCUGUGACGUUCCGGAACUGAUGGCGUAGUGGGAGGAGCCAGAGAAAAUUAGCAGAGGCUACAGGGACUGGAAAACUCAGGGAUCCCGACUAACCCCAUGCAGCUAGAGUGAACGGCAGACGGGGAGCCCAGACCGAGGGGGAGCCCAGAUCGGGUCCCAGCCAGGCAACCAGGACGUGAAAGCUCACCCGAGCCACGAGAGUCACGUGGGACGGACUGCAAAACUCACCCCGGUCAGAGCAUCGCGGUGGCGGGAACCACAGGCCGGGGUCUGGAAAACUAGCAGUGAUGUGACUGUGGACUUUCCCUGGAGAAGGAGGAAUACUUAGACCCUGCCCAGAGAGCUUUGUACAAAAACCUGCUGAUAGAGAACUACAGCAGUCUGGUUUCUGGCACAGCACUGUAUUUGAUGGUCUGUUGACAUUCAGGGAUGUGGCUGUGGACUUCUCCCAGGAGGAGUGGGAAUACCUGGACUCUAUUCAGAGGGCUUUGUACAUUGAUGUGAUGAUGGAGAAUUACAGCAAUCUGGUCUCUGUGGGAUUGGAGAGAAGAAUCAGUGUUAUGAGUAUUUAUUGCUGUUCUGGAAGACUGGGGUUCAAGUCUCAGCCCCAAAUUGUGGAUAAUGAUCACAACCUCCUAUCACUCCAGUUCCAGGGGAUCUGACACUACUCUUCAUGCCUCUGCUGGCACUGCAAAAUGUGAUGCACAUCCUUGCAGUCAGAACACUCAGAAAGUAAAUCUAUUUUUUAAAGUUUCUAUGUGAUAAUGGAGGAGCCAUUUGAUGAAAUUAGAACAUGGAAGCUCUUCCUUGCAAAUCUUUUUUUUUGGGGGGGGGACCCACUUUAAUGAGAGUUGCUUGCUGAGAAUGGCAAGCAAUUGUAGCCUCAUCAGAGACUACAAUCUGUUUUUUAAAGUGACACCACCUACAACUAGCAUGCAUUAACUUCCAGUAGACACCUAGGGAAGGGUGAUAGCCUCAUGGGUCCCUACUGCCAUGUAAAAUAUUGAUGGACCUUGUAUUGUGAAGCCUUGUGCAGAUGAUCACAUCAGCAGUGAGUCCAUGAGUACAACAACACUGUCAUGUCCGGAUGAUUUUUUUUAGUAUACUCCUUCCCAACUUCUGGCUCUGGCUUUUCUAGUCUUUAACUUCUGUCUUUCACAAUAUCCUCUGAACUUUAGAAGGGGCAGUUCAGUGGUUGCACCUAGCACAGAGUCUUCUAGCAUCAUUUAUUCUCUUCAGGUUUUCCAGUUUGGAGUUUCUGCACUACCAUGUGUCUACUGAAAUGAGAAGCAUCUCUGAUGAAGGUUAAUCAUAACACUGUAAUAUAAAAAUGAAAAUUUAAGAGAAUGGUUGACACAUGAUUUUGAGAAAAAUAGCUGUACUGUGUCCCACUAACACCCAUGAAAUUCCAUGCACCAUAUUCUUAACCAUGCUUACAAAAUCAUGCAUGAGUUUUCUCUGUGAAGGGAGCCUGAAAUUCAAUCAGAAAAGUGGUUCAUCACUGUAUUAGUUAAUGGUGGGGAAGCAUGGUAGCAAACAGACAUGUCAGCUGGGGUAGGAGAUAUGACACCUUCAACAGCACGCAAUGGAAAGAAGUGUAAGUUACUCAAGCCUCCUCCCCUUUAAAGCUUUCCCCUAAUGAUGCACUUUCUCCAGUAACCUGCACUACCUGAGCCUCUCAAAACAGUGCCACCAACUGGGGACUACAUGUUCAAAUGCAUGAGCCUAUAGGGGACAAUCUCAUUUAAGCCAGUGUAGGGAAAAGGGGCUGGCUAAAGAAACCCACCCUGACCCUGGAGCCCAGAACUAGGGAAAGAUGGCUCAAAUCAGGGAAGAAAGAAAUAUAGUUUGGCUCAGUAAGAUCAGAGCCAUCUUUGCUUCUGGCCAACUGACUUGUGAAACCAACCCAUCACAGAGCAGGAUAGUGGAACCCUGGGCCUGGGGUUGACUCCACCGCUAAGACUUCCUGUGUAAACCUGAUCAGCCUAGUCAGUUAGAAAGAAGGUUGUUCUCUCCACCCUGGUAGAAGCAGCUACUCUCCUGGACUCCCUUCCCAAAUAAAUCUCCUCCUCAAAAGAGUUUUUUGUGUGUGUGUGUGAAGGUCUUCAUUCACUGGCGUAGAGAAGAUCCUGAGACAUUCCCAGUGGACAAGAGAGAGAGAGAGCUGAAAGAGCAGGGUAAGGAGGAGCUGAACAGAAGAUCUUUGCUGAGACAUCUCUCAGUGGACAGAGAGAACUAUAAAUAACACUUUUCUCCAGAGCUGGAGGAGAUUGCUCCAUUUCUGCAGGGGUUUCCCCUUUCACAGAGUGAAGCAAAAGAAGCAACAUCUUAGGCUGGAGAAGCAGAGCUCUGAUAGGAAGCCCCCUUAAGUGGGGGCUGAGCAAAGCUCAGCUGUAGAGGCUCUCCAGGGGAGGAGCAGGAUUGCUAUAUCCUGCGGGGAGACCAUCCCCCAUCAUACCAGUUAUACCUUGAGUCAGGAUACUCUUCCCUGCUGAACCAGUUCCAGGCCUGACUCUUCCAAGAAGGCAGAAAAAAAAAAUUUCCCUUCCAGGGUUGGGCUGUUUCUUUGCAGUCCCAGCUGUCAGAGCUGUCCUAAACAGCUUUAGGUGUCCGGGAAACUACAGGGCAGAGCUGUUGUUCAAGAUACCUUGCCCUCCAGGGCUGAACUGUCUCCUUGCAGUUUCAGUAAUCACAGCUGUGCUACACAGCUCCAGGUGUCCAGGACACCUUCAGGGCAGAGCUGUUGUUCUGAGCAGCUUGAGGUGUCCAGGAUACCUCACCCUUCAGGGUUGAACUAUCUCCUUGCAGUUUCAGCCAUCAUAGCUGUGCUUCAUAGCAGAAGGUGUUGCCUGACUCCCCAGGUAGUCAGGACCCCAAACCCACAGAGAUGCAAAACUUGCAAAACUCACAUUCUGCAACCAAUUUACCAACAUUUUUGGUGAAGAAACCCGAGACACGAAACCCAGAGUUUUUGCACUCAGGUUACUAACACUUUUGGUGCAAUUUACUAACACCAAACCCACAGAGUUGCAAAACAUGCAGUUUACAUACAGCCAGCACUACCAUUGUAGGGAGGAUUUUUAAAGCUUGAAAGACAGAACUUAGAGAGGUUUUGCUGUCUUAAGAGGUUUGUUGUUUUCCCUUAGAACUAAUCACAGGUGGUCCCCAUACUAAUAUCUUCAGGUGGUUCUAAUUUGUCCUUCUGAGAGAGAGUUCUGAAAGGCUUUAGUUAAGUUUUUUAAGAAAAGCUUUUUAGUUUAAGAGAAAGAUUUUUCCCCAAAACUUUAAACUUUUUGGCUUUUUACACUCCCAUUUUUUGCCUCAGGGAGAAAUCACUUUCUUCUGCUGCUUGGACUUAGCAUGUCAGCUGUCCCCAGGUCAAAAGCUUCCAUAGGAAACUUUUUCUUCCCCAUAAGCUCAGAGAAGAACUUUUUUACUACCUGUAAAGCCCAAAGAAAGAUUUUUUCCCCUAGUUUGCAUUCAAAGCCCCUAAAGUUAGAAAAUUGAAGAGUUUUUCUGUCUAGUUGCCUUAUUUUUUUCUACACGAUCUUACACUUCUAAGUUUUUCCUAUACUAUAUUACUACCCUAUACCUUAUACUUAUUUUUCACAGAUAGAAAUUUAGAAAGGGAUAGAAGAUAGAAAAUUUUGACAGAAGAGAAUUUUGCACUGCAGCAUCAGACAUCUUUCCAGUCUGCUUUCCUUUUCUCUCGAGGAUAAAACCCCUGCCCCUCAAUAAUAUGUAUAUAAAAUAUGUAUUUUCCAUAACACUGGCAUGCCUUUCCACUGGCAAGGCUGACUCAGCACUUUCGCCAAAAACUCUGUAACAAAACUAUUAUUUUCCUUUAUCUUUAGUCCCUAUUACUUUGUCUUUAGCCCCUGUUCAUUUGUCUUAGUACCCCCUUUUUUUCAGUCCCCCCUUUUUUUCUUUAGUCCCUAUAUAUUUUUCUUUUUUCUUUAGCCCCUGUUCAUGGUGCCAUUCUGUGGGGCAUUUACCCACCAACCCCACAGCUCCCCAGAGUUUUCUUGAGUGUGAGCAGCAGGAAAUAUUAGAUAGAAGGAUUUAUAUUGUGGAGAUAAACAGAUAGAAAAUAAAGGAUAGCCUCAAGAGGGCCUGGAACCUAUUCCAAUGGCCCCCAACUGUCUCUGACCCAGGGUAUUUAUAGAGAUGCCAAGGGGUGGAGCAAAAGACCUCCUCCCCCAGCACAGCCAAGUGCAGACCAUCUCAGACACCUGCACUCAGGCCCGUGGUCCUAAUCAUCCUCUAUGAGGACAUGCUGGGUAAAUCCACGAGGAACCCGAAAACGGGCUCCCACAACAAUCAUCUCCCUGAUUAUCCACAGAAUUGUGGUUGCUCAUAUGAUUGAGAUCUACACUUGAUUACAUAUACAUAUUUAAGAAAAUGCAUGGUAAUGAGGACAUAUCACAGCUGUUAUUGCUCAUGAAAUUACAGAUGGAAGCGAGAGUAUUCAGAGUCAGUGGCCUGCAAGCCCUGCUUGACAGGGUACUCCAUCUAGAAUAAUUUGUCUGGUGGGUUGAUAUCUGAAUUAUCAAUUGCUAUAAGCUUAUUUGCAUCCUGGCCCACAAUAGCUUGUGACAAUGGCUCCUGACAGGUGGCAAUUUCUACAGUGUCCCAUGCCUAUCCACAAAAUCAUUAUUCAAGACAAUGUGUGAACAGACUGCAAACUCAGAGAGCCACCUGCCUUUGCCUUCUUAGAAACAGAGUAAUUUUAAAGAAAAUAUUGAAUGGCAUUUUAUAAUAUUGAUUAAACACCUAUAAAUUAUACAUUCAAAUCAUAAUUCCAUCUAAAAAUUGCUAUAAUUUUAUAAAGACUGUAAUAAACAAACUAUAUCUACCAGGAGAAAUAUUAUAGAAGUUACUUUAGGCUUAAUUAUUCUGGAAAAAUUUAAUUCCAGAAAAUCCAUCUAGCAUAUAAUCAAAUGAUAGAGGAUCAGAACACCAUUAGCUUUCCUUCCCUUUAUGUAGAAACAUUUUGGAAGCAUAAAAUUCUCUAAUCAGGAAACACUUUCUUUGGAUAUUUUCCAUGUUAAAUCAUAAAACACAUUUCAUUUUGUAUGUUAAAAAUGUUUAAAAUCCCUCAUAUAUAAUCCCUUAUUUACAUCAUUUCUUAUGUAUAUAAAUGUUUUGUCUGCAUGUAUGUACAAACACCAUUUACAUGUAUUCUCUGCAGAGGCCAGAAAUGGUCAUCAGAACACCAGAAGGUGGAGUUAUAGGAGGUUAUUUAUUAUUUAUUCACUGUGGUAGGAGGGAAUGGAACCCAGAUCCUCUGAAAGAAUAGCAAGUCCUCUCUAACACUGAACUACCUCUUCAGCCCUGUUUAAGUAUGUUAAAAAUAACACUUGUUGAAAACAUAUAUUACAAUGCUGAAGAAAGAAUCAUGGUGAUCAGAGAAAUAAUCAUUUACAAAUAUGGAGAAGAAAUUUUUUCCAUAUUUGAUUUGGUGAACAUGGUGAAAUAUAGUCAUGUCAUUUAUAAGUAUUCAUUAAUACUAAAUACAGUGGGUAUUUUUUGACCUAGUGAAUAGCUUGUAAAGUUCUCAAAUAUCCAGAAUUUCUUUUCCUAGUUUUUUGUAAUUUUUAAAUUUUACUUGUGAGAGUAUAAUAUAAUCACUGUGUAGGUCUCUGAUAACACUAUGGCCAGCAGAGUAACAAUCCACAUUAGGGAAGGAGGAAAUCCAGUUCAACACAACUCAGUACCUUGUGAUGAUUCAAACUCUUACAGUCUGACAGUAAGUUGUUUAUUUUAAGCAUAUUUAAGCACAAUAAAAUUUGGGAAAAUGUUUCAUGAUAUAACAAAAUCUGUGCACAUGGAGACAAAAAUUACACCAAACUUUUCAAAGUACAUGUCACUUCUUCUGUGAAGAUGGGUUCUACAGAUAGGCUACAUGGGCUUUCUUAAUGGUCUAGGGAAGAAUCUUAUAUAGUCUUCAUCAUACAGAUGGCAUAGAAAUCAUCUGGGAUAUUAUCUACCUCCAGGACUGAUUAUGGGAGCUUGGGAAAGCCCUUGACCAUAAUUAAGUGCAAAGGUAACCUAGACUAUUAAGUUUAUCCAGUCCUACAACUCACAGUUCCAGAGAAGCUAGGAAACAAGGAGGACCCUAAGAGGCACAUACGGAUCACCUUGGGAGGUGGAAACAGAGGAGAUCUCCAUGAGUAAACUGGGAAUGGGGUGGAGCAAUAGAAAGGAGGGGAUGGGGGAUGAGAACAUGAGGGAACAGGAUGGUUGAGCUGGAGCAGGGAUGGAGUGGGAGAGCAAUGAAAGAGAUAUCUUGAUAGAUGGAGACAUUAUGGAGUAAGGGAAAAACCUGGUGCUGGGAAACUCCCAGGAAUCCACCAGGAUGAACCCAGAUUAGUCUACUACCAUUAGUGUUGAGGGUGCCUGAACUAGCCUGUCCCAGAAAUCAAAUUGGUGAAUACACUAACUGUCAUCACAGACCUUCAUCUAGUAAUUGAUGGAAGCAGAUGCAGAUCCACAACCAAGCACCAGUCGGAGCUCUGGAAGUCCAGUCAAAGAAAGGGAAGAGGGAUUAUAUGAGCAAGGGGGAUCAAGAUCACGAUGGGGAAAUCUACAGAGACAACUGAACCAAGCUCAUAGGAAUUCUUGCACUUUAGACCUACAGUUGUGGAACCUGCAUGGGAGCAGAUAGACCCUCUGCAUAUGGGAGACAGUUGUGAAGCAGAGUCUGUUUGAGGGGCCCCUGGCAGUGGGUCAGGGUCUAUCCCUGGUGCAUGAGCCGGCUUUUUGGAUCCCAUUACCUAUGGUGGGACACCUUGCUCACCAUUCAUGUACUGGGGAGGGGCUUGGUCCUGCCUCAACUGAAUGUACCAGUCUUAUCUGUCCCCCCGUUGGGAGAACUUACUCUUUGGGAGGAGGGGAUGAGGAGUGGGUUGGAAGGGAGAAGGUGGUGGGGGAGCAGGAGGAGGGAUGAGAGGGAUGAGAGAGGGAUCUGUGGUUGGUGUGCAAAAUAAAUUUUAAACUUUAAAUAAUAAAUAAAUAAAAGUUUAUCCAGUCCUGCUUGUGGGAGCCUGCUAUGGUCUGGCUAUAGAAAUAGUGCAAGGCACAUUACAUUUGUAAGGUUUAUCUCCAGUACAUAUUCUUUUAUAAACUUGAAUUGUUGAGCUAUCAGUAAAAGAUUUUCCACACACAUUACAUUUGUAAGGUUUUCCUCCAGUGUGGACCCUCUGAUGAACUUGAAAAUUUGAGGCAUUGUUAAAUGACUUGACACAUUCUUUACAUUUAUAAGAUUUCUCUGCAGUGUGGAUCCUCUGAUGAAUAUGAAGUGUUGAACUCAGAGUAAAAGACUUGCCACAUGUUUCACAUAUGAAAGGUUUUUCUCCUGAAUCAUUUCUCUGAGGAAGAUGAAGAGAAAACCCACGGGCAUAGGACUUGCCAUACUCUGUACAUUUGAAAGCAUUCUCUUCAGUGUGAAUUUUACAAUGAGCUCUAUAUUUUGAUUCAUCUGAAUGGAACAUGUCAUGCUCUGGACAUUUGUAUGAUUCUUUUGUCAUAUGGAUUUUAUAAUGCUCCUUAAGUACUGAUAAUGCAGAAAACAACUUUCCACAUAUUUUACAUUUGCACAUUUUUUUUCUAGUAAGAACCACAUUAAUUCUAAAAAAAUCUGAGCAUCUCCUGUAACUCCUCCCAAAUUUCUUAUAAUUUUGUCCAACACUGAAUCUUGGAUUCCCCUCAAAUUUUGGUGCGUGGAUGAAAUACUGUCUACAUGCUUUGAAUUUUGGUUGUUUCCCUUCAGUGUGGCUUGAGUCAUUUUGAAUAAUUGAAUGGAAAUUGCAGGAUCUUAAUGGAAAUGAUGCAGAGUGGGCUUUUUGAAAAGUUGGAACUUCUUCAUCUAUUCUGUCAGGAAUGUCAGUGACAGGUACUACAAAAAGAUCAUUUCCACAAAAAAAAAAGAAAGAAAGAAAAAAGAAAUAGUGCAAGGAUCCCCUAGGCUAUGUACCUCCAGUCCCAGCCUUCUGGGCAGAAAAGAAGUUAUAUAUCUUUUCCCUUGAAAAGACAACCAUACUUGUUUAAAUUUUCUGGUUCUCCUAGUGCUGUCCAUGAGAACAAGUGCCUUUGCUUUCCCUCCAAAUUACAACAUUUCUAUCUUCACUUUCCUCCCUCCAAACUCUUCUAUAUAACCCCAAACCCUGUUCCUCAAAUGGAAAGCCUUUUUUUUACUAAUUGUUAUUUCAUGAAUAUAUGUACCUGUGUACACAUAAAUAUUCCCAGAUAAAAUUGUCUCAAUCCAUAAAAUGUUACUUGCAUAUCUGUUUUAAGGCUAUCCAUUUGGUACUAGACAACAAAUUGCUGUGCUCUUCUCUGGGGAAGACUGUCUCUCCCACUCUCUGCUAAUAGUCCUUUGUAUAAGGUUGUGGCCUUGUAGGCUUUUCUUUGUCCAAUUUGGCAAGCACAUUGGUUUCAUAUGUCUACCUCACAUUGAUUUAAACCAAAAUGAUUAAAAUUUGUGUAAAAUUUAUUUCUACUAGGAUUAUCACUCAUGGAACAGCUGACAUUAAUGAUUCUCUGUGAGUAAAGAAUAGAUUUUCACUGCAAAAAAAUAUAAAAAUUUACUCAAAUAUUUAACAAUUUAUUGGUUAGACACAGAAGGAAUAUAUUGAAGAUAACAAGCUGCAAUAUAUGUGCAAUCUCAAAAAGUAUCAAGGCAUUAAUGUUUAUAUUGAAUAUUACAUAAACAUCACAUUACACUAACAAUAGUAUCACACUACACUAAAAUAUGUAAAAUCUCAAAUAGUGUUAACUUUUGAUGGUUCUUUAACAGUAUCCCAACAUAUGGUCAGAAAAAAUGUUACUGUUUAAGUCAUUUCUAGUAGGAAAUUAUAAUAAUUAGUAACAUUUAGUGUUUGAAAAAUAACUCUAUAUCAUUGUUUCAUAAAUAAUUCAUUUUCCAACAAAUUUUUAUGACUAUAAAUUACCUCUCUGGAUGGAAUGUUUAAAAUUUAUAACAAAUGUAGAGCAUCCUAAAGAGGCUUCCCAUAUACUGACUAUGGUUUGAAAAUUAAUUGAUGGCUUUGAAAAUGUGUAAGAAGCUGGUCCCUCUAUAAAGACUGGUACAGUGAAUUAUCGUGAGAUAGUCUAAUAACAUUUACAAAGCUUUCUCCAUUAUGUGAAUUUUCUGAUGCUUUUUAAUACUUGAGCAUCUGGUUAAGGAUUUCUGACAUUUUUUACAUUUGUAUGGUUUGUCAUGAUAUGGAUUCAGUGAUGAGAGUAAAGACUUGAGAAAUGGGUAAAGGACUUGCCUCAUUCUUUACAUCUGUAAGGUUUAUCACCAGAGUGGACUCUGUGGUGAGCUUGAAGAUUUGAAUGAUGGACAAAGGACUUGCUACAUUCUUGACGUGUAGUGUUUGUCUCUGGUAUGGAUUCUAUGAUGAGAAUGAAGAUAUGAGACCUGGGAAAGGAAAAUUCCACAUACUUUAUAUUUCUAAGGUUUCACUUUUGUAUGAAUUCUGUGGUGAGCUUGAAGACUUGAGUCCUUAGCACUUGAAGACUUAGCACAUUCUUCACAUCUGUAAGGUUUGUCACCUUUACGAAUUCUGUGAUAAGUGUGAAGAUUUAAUAAAUGGACUUGCCACAUUCUUUACAUCUAUAAGGUUUGUCACCAGUGUGGAUUCUGUGAUGAACUUGAAGAGUUGAGUGAUGGGUAAAGGAUUUGCCACAUUCCUUACAUCUGUAAGGUUUGUCACCAGUAUGAGUUCUGUGGUGAGCUUGAAGACUUGAGACCUGAGUAAAGGAUCUGCCACAUUCUUUACAACUGUAAGGUUUGUCACCAGUAUGGAUUCUGUGGUGAGCUUGAAGAGUUGAGUGAUGGGCAAAGGACUUGCCACAUUCUUUACAUUUGUAAAGUUUCUCUCCUAUAUAGACUCUCUGGUGUCUCCUAAAGUUUGAGUAGUUCUGGAGACAUUUUCCACAUUCUUCACAUGUGUAGGAUUUCCUGAAUUUUAUUUUACAUUUCUCAUAUUUGUUGGAGUUCAUCAAAGGAUGGAUUUGAUGUUAUGUUCUAUGAAGUGAAAACUCUGUAAUGGCCUCAUCACUUUGUUGUGUUUGUAUGCCUUUUCUCUGGGAUCAAUUAUCUUUUGAUCAGUGAGGCAUGAACAUUCAUUGAUGCACUUUCCACAUUCUUUAUAGAGAAUUCUUUCUCUUCAGUAUGAAGUAUCUUAUAUCUUAAGAGGUAUGUAGAUUUCCUAAAGCAUUUUUUACAUAAAUUACAUUUCAUUGGUUUCUCUCCAGCAUGGAAUAUUAGAUAACCUAGAUUUAAAGGAGAGGAAAAAGAUUUACCAUAGUUUUUUUAUUUCUGGGUCCUCUCUUCCAUGUUCCUUGAAUGAUUCUGAAUAAGGCUUGAACACAGAUGGAAGGAUUGAUCACAUUCUUGACUAUGUCUGUAGGAAGUUUCUAUUAAUAGUUCUUCUGAAUGUAACAGUUUGAGCAUCCAUCAAAUGCUCUGUCAUGUUUAUAGCUUAUAUAAAGCUACUCUUGGGUCUGGUCAGACUGGUACCUAAAAAAGUCUUUGUUAUAAUCAAAAUUCCCUUUACAGUUAUUGUUUUUCAAAUGACCCUCAGGGAAAAAAACUCCUUUAUCCUGUGUAUUAGUAAGUAUUAAGUCCUGCAUAAAGACAUACCCUGAGGCAUUGUCUUGAGAAGUUGACCCAAUAAGAUAAGAGUUCUGGUACUAUUCUUCACAGAGCUCUCUGCAAAAGCUUUAAUAACAUCACUAGAUGUUGUAAGACUUUUCACAACAAGAAAGACUAUGAUACCUUUCAGCCACAUGUGAUUGAGACAAGCCUUCUCAUUGUAGAUCUAAAUUGAAUAACUUGUCACAAAAUGGAAUUACUUGUUGAGGGAACUCGAGUCAAUGUUUAGUAGAAUAUGUGUCAUUCUGAUUACACAGAGAAAAGAGUUCUUUACUUGUGGCUCUCUUUUUCUCAAAAACUGCUAAAAGUACAGUUUAAACUCACAGUACAUCAAAAAUAUUUUGAAGAAUUAACUGUAUUGUACCAUGUGUCACUUCUCAGAGUUUUCAAAUUACUGUGUAUAAUUAAAACAUGUUUUAAAACUGUAUGUAAAUGGUUCACUACUAAAAAAAUCUGCUUGUGAAAAUGUAAAACCUAUCUUCCCCACAUACCUGGAACAUCCUUAAACAAAAGGUAUUCAGGUCACUACUUCUAAAUACUCCUGACAUCACUUUCUGUAUAGAAUUUUGUAUGUUCUGUGAAAUUAUGUAUUGAGUAUAAUGGAAACACAGAUAUGGAAGAAGGAAAAAUAUAUAAUUGUCUGAAUUAGCCAACUUGGGUUGAGUUUUUUGGAAUAUAAGACAUAAUAUAAAAUUUUACAAAUAUGUAGACACAUAUGCAAGAUGGCAUACUUAAAAACUUCAGAUCUUUUGUUCUUAAAAUAUCUUCUUAUGUCAGUAGAUAGAUGUUUCACAAAUUUAUGAAAUAACUUAUUAAAAAUGUAUUGACAUUAAUUAUGUUAAGGUAGACAUUUCAAAUAAUUUUUUCAGAAUAGGCACACACCUUUAAUCUCAGCACUUGAGAGGCAUAAGGCAGGAAAAAUUGCUGUGAGUUCAAGGCCAAUCUGAUCUACAGAGCAAGUUUCAGGACAGCCAGGACUGCACAGAGAAACCCUGUCUCAAAAAAAUCAGAGUAAUAAAUACAACUGUGAGGUGUUUGAACGAGAUGCCCCAAUUCUGGGAGCCCACAGUGACUCAGUUUCCUACAGUUACUCAGCUUGAAGCUAAAGUCCAUUUUGACUCAAAAGAGUUCAAAGCUUACUUGCUCUAGUCUCUUCAGAAGCUGUGAGGAAGCUCUGAUAAGGCUCCUGGGAAAAGUAAAGGGGCUGUGAGACAGUUCUGAUUAGCUUUGUGGGAAAGAACUAAUUAUUUAGCAAAUGCUCAAUUCCAGGCAGACUGCUGAAGUUAGCAGGUGGCAUAUGUUUGAGACAAUGAAACUACCUGUUCUUGAUUCAAGGACGGGCUGGACCGCCUGUGCUAUGCUUUGUUCUGCUGUUGCUUUUCAGUUUUGUACAUAAGAUGGCUGUGAAAUAAACUCAGGGCUUUUCUGGUACUGACCAGAAGCCCUCCCAGCACUGA
Molecule: RNA transcript, 12151 nt
Organism: Peromyscus californicus insignis
Lineage: Eukaryota; Metazoa; Chordata; Mammalia; Rodentia; Cricetidae
Gene name: zinc finger protein 54-like
Exons: 5
Source: RefSeq, a predicted model, not a curated record